This 123-nucleotide small RNA is filed under the name Staphylococcus xylosus. RNAcentral describes it as "Ribosomal protein L20 leader". It matches the Rfam family "Ribosomal protein L20 leader". From Rfam's summary of the family: This family is a putative r-protein leader autoregulatory structure found in B. subtilis and other low-GC Gram-positive bacteria. Lineage: Bacteria; Bacillati; Bacillota; Bacilli; Caryophanales; Staphylococcaceae. The record is from RNAcentral.
AACCAAGUAGAAGCUCCCGCUUCUCACCUGUUGCGACGCAAAAGCUGUUGGCAGGUCUUAUAUACACACGAUGAAGUCAUGUGUAGAGAAGAGCGGGUAUAUUGUAUACUCGCUCUUUUUGCU